AUUGAACGCUGGCGGCAUGCUUUACACAUGCAAGUCGAACGGUAGACCCUUUCGGGGGUUGAGAGUGGCGAACGGGUGAGUAAUGCAUCGGAACGUGCCUAGUCGUGGGGGAUAACGUAGCGAAAGUUACGCUAAUACCGCAUACGCACUGAGGUGGAAAGCGGGGGACCGUAAGGCCUCGCGCGAUUGGAGCGGCCGAUGUCGGAUUAGCUAGUUGGUGAGGUAAAGGCUCACCAAGGCGACGAUCCGUAGCGGGUCUGAGAGGAUGAUCCGCCACACUGGGACUGAGACACGGCCCAGACUCCUACGGGAGGCAGCAGUGGGGAAUUUUGGACAAUGGGCGCAAGCCUGAUCCAGCCAUGCCGCGUGAGUGAAGAAGGCCUCGGUUGUAAGACUCUUCUAGUGGAAGAAAUACGCACUUUUAAUUAACUAA
This 433-nucleotide ribosomal RNA is filed under the name uncultured bacterium. RNAcentral describes it as "bacterial SSU rRNA". It matches the Rfam family "Bacterial small subunit ribosomal RNA", at positions 30 to 470 of the family's 1533-position model. The record is from RNAcentral.